CCUACGGUGGGCAGCAGUGAGGAAUAUUGGUCAAUGGACGAGAGCCUGAACCAGCCAAGUAGCGUGAAGGAUGACUGCCCUAUGGAUUGUAAACUUCUUUUAUAUGGGAGUAACAUAGGCUACGUAUGCCCUUUUGUAUUUACCAUAUGAAUACGGAUCGGCUCAAUCCGUGCCAGCAGCCGCGGUAAUACGUAGGGUCCGAGCGUUGUCCGGAUUGAUUGGGUUUAAAGGGUGCGUAGGUGGCGUUUUAAGUCCGGUGUGAAAGUCUGGGGCUCAACCGUCGAACUGCAGUUGAUACUGGCAGUCGUGAGUACAGUAGAGGUAGGCGGAAUGCGUGGUGUAGCGGUGAAAUGCUUAGAUAUCACGAAGAAC
Molecule: ribosomal RNA, 372 nt
Filed under: uncultured bacterium
Lineage: Bacteria
Description: partial 16S ribosomal RNA
Rfam family: Bacterial small subunit ribosomal RNA
Source: RNAcentral